This is a non-coding RNA of Bactrocera oleae (olive fruit fly), 674 nucleotides long. The record is from RefSeq and is a predicted model, not a curated record. NCBI's taxonomy places the organism in Eukaryota, Metazoa, Arthropoda, Insecta, Diptera, Tephritidae.
GCAGAAUUUUCACACUGUCAAAACGUUCGCAUUGCCAACUAAGUCGAUGGCAAUCUCCUCUUUUUUUAUUUUAAUUAGUGUUUUUGACAAUUGUGAAUGUUUGUUAAGAAGAAAAUAUCUCUAACGGUCGCGAAAAAUGGUUGAAUUGUUUCCUGCGAAUUUCUUUUUUGGUUUUUUGACUACGUAUCGUGUUUUUACCAUUGUAAUUUAUAGCUUCCUGAAAUCAAUAAUAUUGUCGCGUUCGAAUCGAGUACAAAUUUGCAAUUCGUCCCUUCAAUUGCGUAGAGACAACGCUGCCGCGUGUCUUGUGUUAAGAAAUUGCUGUAGCGCCGGGAAGUUUUUUUUUUUAAUUUGUGUUAAUCUAUCUAGUUUCAACCUGUAAGCUUAAAAAUGUGUCCUUGAAUGAAUUCAAGGUGAAGUGUAUGAAUUUUAUGGCCAGCUGUAUUGCAUCCAAGUCCUUUGUAAAAUCGUGCAUCGUGUGUGCAUACUAUCAAAUAUAAGUGUCCCGGAAUCGUAUGGUAGGAAAUUCAAACGGCGUCGUGGACAAUAAAAAUGCAUGGUGCCAAAAGAAAUGCCAACGCAAUUAAAUACCAACAACUCUUACAAAAUCACCUGGUCCCUUCAAUUGAAGAGCACUUUUCCCAUAAUUUUUCAGGAUGAUUUUGCAACCUCCU